This 107-nucleotide non-coding RNA is filed under the name Clostridium tetanomorphum. RNAcentral's name for it is "Glycine sequence". It matches the Rfam family "Glycine riboswitch aptamer". Rfam says of the family: This family represents the bacterial glycine riboswitch. Glycine riboswitches usually consist of two metabolite-binding aptamers domains with similar structures in tandem. The aptamers cooperatively bind glycine to regulate the expression of downstream genes. Lineage: Bacteria; Bacillati; Bacillota; Clostridia; Eubacteriales; Clostridiaceae. The record is from Rfam by way of RNAcentral.
GUGAAGGAUAUGAGAGAGCGCUUAUAAUUAAGCCGCCGAAGGGACAAGUUUUGUUUAUCCCAAUUAAGCAAAAUGAAAUUCUCAGGCAAAAGGAUUAUAUCUGGAUA